RNAcentral lists this ribosomal RNA (433 nucleotides) under uncultured bacterium. Its description in RNAcentral is "partial 16S ribosomal RNA". It matches the Rfam family "Bacterial small subunit ribosomal RNA", at positions 29 to 507 of the family's 1533-position model. The record is from RNAcentral.
AACGAACGCUGGCGGCAUGCCUAACACAUGCAAGUCGAACGAGCCCUUCGGGUCUAGUGGCGCACGGGUGCGUAACGCGUGGGAACCUGCAUUUAGGUUCGGAAUAACUCAGAGACAUUUGAGAUAAUACCGGAUGAUGUCUUCGGACCAAAGAUUUAUCGCCUUUAGAUGGGCCCUCGUUGCAUUAGCUAGUUGGUGGGGUAAAGGCCUACCAAGGCGACGAUCCAUAGCUGGUCUGAGAGGAUGAUCAGCCACACUGGGACUGAGACGCGGCCCAGACUCCUACGGGAGGCAGCAGUGGGGAAUAUUGGACAAUGGGCGAAAUGCUGAUGCAGCAAUGCCGCGUGAGUGAUGAAGGCCUUAGGGUUGUAAAGUGCUUUUACCCAUGAUGAUAAUGACAGUAUCGAGAGAAUAAGCCCCGGCUAACUCCGUG